Molecule: ribosomal RNA, 309 nt
Filed under: Triticum aestivum (bread wheat)
Lineage: Eukaryota; Viridiplantae; Streptophyta; Magnoliopsida; Poales; Poaceae
Description: partial small subunit ribosomal RNA
Source: RNAcentral
AUGCCUCGUGGGCCCAUGGUGCCCCCUCCACUUAUUCCCGCACCCACACACUCCAUCUUCCUCCCAAAAAAAUCCCAUCCAGCUCAAGCACGAGUUCUAGCUAAUUUUGCUGCGAUUUUCGAUCUCCUUGCUCAAAGCUCCAUUCACAAAAUUGCUUUGGGAGAUUGUUGCUUGGUAUGUGACUCCUCCAAUGGUCCAAUUAGUUUUGGUUCUAGUGCUUUAUUCAUUGCAAAUUUUUGCUGCUUAGGUGACCCUGUUCUUGAGCUUGCAUGUCAAAUUUAUGAGGUCCCAAGUAAUUCUAAUGCUUGA